This 404-nucleotide ribosomal RNA is filed under the name uncultured bacterium. RNAcentral describes it as "bacterial SSU rRNA". It matches the Rfam family "Bacterial small subunit ribosomal RNA", at positions 29 to 433 of the family's 1533-position model. The record is from RNAcentral.
AUUAAACGCUGGCGGCAUGCCUUACACAUGCAAGUCGAACGGCAGCACGGGGGCAACCCUGGUGGCGAGUGGCGAACGGGUGAGUAAAGCAUCGGAACGUGCCCUGGAGUGGGGGAGUAACGUAGCGAAAGUUACGCUAAUACCGCAUAUUCUGUGAGCAGGAAAGCAGGGGAUCGCAAGACCUUGCGCUCUGGGAGCGGCCGAUGUCGGAUUAGCUAGUUGGUGGGGUAAAAGGCCCUACCAAGGCGACGAUCCGUAGCGGGUCUGAGAGGAUGAUCCGCCACACUGGGACUGAGACACGGCCCAGACUCCUACGGGAGGCAGCAGUGGGGAAUUUUGGACAAUGGGCGAAAGCCUGAUCCAGCCAUGCCGCGUGAGUGAAGAAGGCCUCGGUUGUAAAGGAC